Molecule: long non-coding RNA, 1154 nt
Filed under: Malus domestica (apple)
Lineage: Eukaryota; Viridiplantae; Streptophyta; Magnoliopsida; Rosales; Rosaceae
Description: long non-coding RNA (MDOM_LNC002476)
Source: RNAcentral
ACAAGCAUAAAGUUCCGUGAUUAAAACACUAAAAUUUUUGAGUAAAAGUUCAUACUUAUUUUUUAAUAGCUAAGUAUUUUUCUUUAAAAUUUUGCAAGACUUUAUGACCACUAUUGUCCAAGAAAGUACGGCCCGACUAGCAUUGUGAACCACUGAUGAAUAACAUUUUGAAUUUAAAACUUUUUUGGUUACUGUAUUAUAAGUCAAAAUUUAUUUUAAUCACUGCAUUUUUAAUUUAGUCAAUUUGAUUGCUGUGCUGUUAAAAGUUAACAAUUUUAGUCACAUCCUUUAGUAUGCAGUUUAUGUAUUAAAAUAUCCAUUAAUUGAAUAAAAUUUACAAAAAAAUAAUUUACAAAAAACUUAAAAUUCCUUUUAUAAAUAGAAAUAUUGAAGAAGAAAAAAAGAAGAAUUAAGAGAUUGGGGGCAUGCGGGCAAACUUACAGAGGAUAGAGUGGAAAGCAUUUUGGCUCACCGACAUGUAAUCAAAGCAAAUCCAUUGAGUUCCAAAAAGAGGUGUGCUAUCCACACACCCCAUUUUACUUCAUACACACACCUUGAUAAUUUCUGUCCGUUGAUCUUUUUCAAUUCAUCCGAUCCGACGGCCGAAAAUUAAAAAUGUGUAUGAGAAGUAAAAUGGGGUGUAGAUAUCACACCCCUAAAAAAAGGAGGCCUUUAUAUUGAAACCCAAUAUAACCAAAUUAAAGCUCAUUUGGAAAUUUUUGAAAAUGACUGAAAACACUUUUAAAAAAAAAAAAUUUUUAGGUUUCUAAAACACUUGAAAUGCUUUGAGCAAGAAGUCUCAAUUAUGUGCUUCUUAUAGGAAACACUUUUAAGUGUUUUUAUCAAAAACCCUUUUAGCUAUUUUAUGAACAUUUACAAACGAGCCGUGAGUAUAAGAUAUUUGAUUAGAAUAGACAUAUAUAAACCUAACAAGCAAGUAAAGUGCAAGCGCAGUAGAAAUGUUGGGGGAGGAGUGGUAGGACCACCACUCUUUUGUCUAAUGGAUUUUUCAGGAAGAAUCUGGUAAAGUGGCAAAAGGUAUAUCCAAUUGAGAGAAGGAAUAGUGAGACUCCAAUUUGGAAGUACCAUUUUUUCUAAGGAAAACUAAUGAAAAAGACUUAAAAACUUUGAGUUUUAAUGAUAAGGACAAAAUA